Molecule: signal recognition particle RNA, 97 nt
Filed under: Corallincola luteus
Lineage: Bacteria; Pseudomonadati; Pseudomonadota; Gammaproteobacteria; Alteromonadales; Psychromonadaceae
Also listed under: 2 other names
Description: Corallincola sp. DASS28 signal recognition particle sRNA small type
Rfam family: Bacterial small signal recognition particle RNA
About the family: The signal recognition particle (SRP) is a universally conserved ribonucleoprotein involved in the co-translational targeting of proteins to membranes. Archaeal SRP consists of a 7S RNA and homologues of the eukaryotic SRP19 and SRP54 proteins.
Source: RNAcentral
UAUUGGUCCCCUCGCAACGAUAAUAUGUGAACUCGGCCAGGCCCGGAAGGGAGCAACCGCAGCGUAUGACUCGUGUGCCGGGGUGUGGCUGGUGGGG